RNAcentral lists this ribosomal RNA (408 nucleotides) under uncultured bacterium. Its description in RNAcentral is "partial 16S ribosomal RNA". It matches the Rfam family "Bacterial small subunit ribosomal RNA", at positions 28 to 526 of the family's 1533-position model. The record is from RNAcentral.
GACGAACGCUGGCGGCGUGCUUAACACAUGCAAGUCGAACGAAGUGGCGGACGGGUGAGUAACGCGUAAUCACCCUGCCCUUCAGAGGGGGACAACAGUUGGAAACAACUGCUAAUGCCGCAUACUGACGGAGUGGAUUGCGUCUGAUUGGCUAGUUGGAGGGGUAACGGCCAACCAAGGCGAUGAUCAGGAGCCGGUCUGAGUGGAUGAACGGCCACAUUGGGACGGAGACACGGCCCAGACUCCUACGGGAGGCAGCAGUGGGGAAUCUUCCGCAAUGGACGAAAGUCUGACGGAGCAACGCCGCGUGAGUGAUGACGGCCUUCGGGUUGUAAAGCUCUGUUAAUCGGGACGCGGUACCGGAAUAGAAAGCCACGGCUAACUACGUGCCAGCAGCCGCGGUAAUAC